Molecule: ribosomal RNA, 252 nt
Filed under: uncultured bacterium
Lineage: Bacteria
Description: partial 16S ribosomal RNA
Rfam family: Bacterial small subunit ribosomal RNA
Source: RNAcentral
UACGUAGGUCCCAAGCGUUGUCCGGAUUUAUUGGGCGUAAAGCGAGCGCAGGUGGUUUCUUAAGUCUGAUGUAAAAGGCAGUGGCUCAACCAUUGUGUGCAUUGGAAACUGGGAGACUUGAGUGCAGGAGAGGAGAGUGGAAUUCCAUGUGUAGCGGUGAAAUGCGUAGAUAUAUGGAGGAACACCGGAGGCGAAAGCGGCUCUCUGGCUUGUAACUGACACUGAGAGACGAAAGCUAGGGGAGCAAAUGGG